GGGGAAUUUUGCGCAAUGGGCGAAAGCCUGACGCAGCAACGCCGCGUGUGUGACGAAGGCCCUAGGGUUGUAAAGCACUGUGGGAAGGGAAGAAAAAACGGGGGUUGUACCCCGUCUUGACGGUACCUUGUUAGAAAGCACCGGCUAACUCCGUGCCAGCAGCCGCGGUAAUACGGAGGGUGCAAGCGUUGUUCGGAAUUAUUGGGCGUAAAGGGCGUGUAGGUGGCUUGCCAAGUCUGGUGUGAAAGCCCACGGCUCAACCGUGGAACUGCAUUGGAAACUGGCAAGCUCGAGUGUUGGAGGGGGUCGCGGAAUUCCCGGUGUAGAGGUGAAAUUCGUAGAUAUCGGGAGGAACACCAGUGGCGAAGGCGGCGACCUGGCCAAUCACUGACACUGAGACGCGAAAGCGUGGGGAGCAAAC
RNAcentral lists this ribosomal RNA (421 nucleotides) under uncultured bacterium. RNAcentral's name for it is "bacterial SSU rRNA". It matches the Rfam family "Bacterial small subunit ribosomal RNA", at positions 356 to 773 of the family's 1533-position model. The record is from RNAcentral.